Molecule: ribosomal RNA, 253 nt
Filed under: uncultured bacterium
Lineage: Bacteria
Description: partial 16S ribosomal RNA
Rfam family: Bacterial small subunit ribosomal RNA
Source: RNAcentral
UACGGAGGGUGCGAACGUUAAUCGGAAUUACUGGGCGUAAAGCGCGCGUAGGUGGCUUGAUAAGCCAGUUGUGAAAGCCCCGGGCUCAACCUGGGAACGGCAUCUGGAACUGUCAAGCUAGAGUGCAGGAGAGGAAGGUAGAAUUCCCGGUGUAGCGGUGAAAUGCGUAGAGAUCGGGAGGAAUACCAGUGGCGAAGGCGGCCUUCUGGACUGACACUGACACUGAGGUGCGAAAGCGUGGGUAGCAAACAGG